RNAcentral lists this ribosomal RNA (301 nucleotides) under Metapochonia bulbillosa. Its description in RNAcentral is "partial large subunit ribosomal RNA". It matches the Rfam family "Eukaryotic large subunit ribosomal RNA", at positions 295 to 602 of the family's 3401-position model. Lineage: Eukaryota; Fungi; Ascomycota; Sordariomycetes; Hypocreales; Clavicipitaceae. The record is from RNAcentral.
GGAGGUAUAUGUCUUCUAGAGCUAAAUAUUGGCCAGAGACCGAUAGCGCACUUGUAGAGUGAUCGAAAGAUGAAAAGCACUUUGAAAAGAGGGUUAAAUAGUACGUGAAAUUGUUGAAAGGGAAGCGCUCAUGACCAGACUUGGGCCCGGUGAAUCAUCCAGCGUUCUCGCUGGUGCACUUUGCCGGGCUCAGGCCAGCAUCAUUUUGCCCCGGGGGAUAAAGGCUUUGGGAAUGUGGCUCCUCCGGGAGUGUUAUAGCCCCAUUGCAUAAUAUCCUGGGGCGGACUGAGGUUCGCGCAUC